GAUGAAGAACGUAGUGAAAUGCGAUAAGUAAUGUGAAUUGCAGAAUUCAGUGAAUCAUCGAAUCUUUGAACGCAUCUUGCGCUCCUUGGUAUUCUGAGGAGCAUGCCUGUCUGAGUGUCAUUAAAUUCUCAACUACACUGACUUUGAAUUGGUGUGGCUUGGAUUUGGGGGGAAAAUUGUUGUGGGCUUUUUGUAUAGUCUGCUCCCCUGAAAUUGAUUAGCGGUACCUUUGUGGAACUGUCUACAGGUGUGAUAAUUAUCUACAUCUUAGACAUCUGCUGGAAUGCUGCUUUCUAAACCUUACUUGUAUUGACAAUCUUGACCUCAAAUCAGGUAGGACUACCCGCUGAACUUAAGCAUAUCAAUAAGCGGAGGA
RNAcentral lists this unclassified non-coding RNA (376 nucleotides) under soil metagenome. Its description in RNAcentral is "partial contains 5.8S ribosomal RNA, internal transcribed spacer 2, and large subunit ribosomal RNA". The stretch from base 1 to 120 matches the Rfam family "5.8S ribosomal RNA", at positions 35 to 154 of the family's 154-position model. The record is from RNAcentral.